This 532-nucleotide ribosomal RNA is filed under the name uncultured bacterium. RNAcentral's name for it is "bacterial SSU rRNA". It matches the Rfam family "Bacterial small subunit ribosomal RNA", at positions 777 to 1308 of the family's 1533-position model. The record is from RNAcentral.
AAUAGAUACCCUGGUAGUCCACGCCGUAAACGAUGAGUGCUAAGUGUUAGGGGGUUUCCGCCCCUUAGUGCUGCAGCUAACGCAUUAAGCACUCCGCCUGGGGAGUACGGUCGCAAGACUGAAACUCAAAGGAAUUGACGGGGGCCCGCACAAGCGGUGGAGCAUGUGGUUUAAUUCGAAGCAACGCGAAGAACCUUACCAGGUCUUGACAUCCCGCUGACCGCUAUGGAGACAUAGCCUUCCCUUCGGGGACAGCGGUGACAGGUGGUGCAUGGUUGUCGUCAGCUCGUGUCGUGAGAUGUUGGGUUAAGUCCCGCAACGAGCGCAACCCUUGUCCUUAGUUGCCAUCAUUCAGUUGGGCACUCUAAGGAGACUGCCGUACAAAUACGGAGGAAGGUGGGAAUGACGUCAAAUCAUCAUGCCCCUUAUGACCUGGGCUACACACGUGCUACAAUGGACGGUACAAACGGUUGCGAAGUCGCGAGACGGAGCCAAUCCGAGAAAGCCGUUCUCAGUUCGGAUUGCAGGCUGA